ACGUAGGGGACGAGCGUUGUCCGGAUUUACUGGGCGUAAAGGGCGCGUAGGCGGUCAUUUAAGUCAGCUGUGAAAUGGUUGGGCUUAACCGGAGCAUGGCUUUGAAACUGGAUGACUGGAGUGCUGGAGAGGUAAGUGGAAUUCCCAGUGUAGCGGUGAAAUGCGUAGAUAUUGGGAGGAACACCGGUGGCGAAGGCGACUUGCUGGCCAGUAACUGACGUUGAGGCGCGAAAGCCUGGGGAGCAAACGG
Molecule: ribosomal RNA, 250 nt
Filed under: uncultured prokaryote
Description: partial 16S rRNA
Rfam family: Bacterial small subunit ribosomal RNA
Source: RNAcentral